This 253-nucleotide ribosomal RNA is filed under the name uncultured bacterium. Its description in RNAcentral is "partial 16S ribosomal RNA". It matches the Rfam family "Bacterial small subunit ribosomal RNA", at positions 524 to 776 of the family's 1533-position model. The record is from RNAcentral.
UACAGAGGUCUCGAGCGUUGUUCGGAUUCAUUGGGCGUAAAGGGCGCGUAGGCGGCGGGGUAAGUCUGGUGUGAAAUCUCGGAGCUCAACUCAGAAAUUGCACUGGAUACUGCUCUGCUAGAGGGCUGGAGAGGAGAUCGGAAUUCACGGUGUAGCAGUGAAAUGCGUAGAUAUCGUGAGGAAGACCAGUGGCGAAGGCGGAUCUCUGGACAGCUCCUGACGCUGAGGCGCGAAGGCUAGGGGAGCAAACGGG